AAUACUCUCUAGUGACCGAUAGCGAACCAGUACCGUGAGGGAAAGGUGAAAAGCACCCCGGAAGGGGAGUGAAAUAGAACCUGAAACCGUGUGCUUACAAGUAGUCAGAGCCCGUUAAUGGGUGAUGGCGUGCCUUUUGUAGAAUGAACCGGCGAGUUACGAUUUGAUGCAAGGUUAAGCAGUAAAUGUGGAGCCGUAGCGAAAGCGAGUCUGAAUAGGGCGUUUAGUAUUUGGUCGUAGACCCGAAACCAGGUGAUCUACCCUUGGUCAGGUUGAAGUUCAGGUAACACUGAAUGGAGGACCGAACCGACUUACGUUGAAAAGUGAGCGGAUGAACUGAGGGUAGCGGAGAAAUUCCAAUCGAACCUGGAGAUAGCUGGUUCUCUCCGAAAUAGCUUUAGGGCUAGCCUCAAGUGAUGAUUAUUGGAGGUAGAGCACUGUUUGGACGAGGGGCCCCUCUCGGGUUACCGAAUUCAGACAAACUCCGAAUGCCAAUUAAUUUAACUUGGGAGUCAGAACAUGGGUGAUAAGGUCCGUGUUCGAAAGGGAAACAGCCCAGACCACCAGCUAAGGUCCCAAAAUAUAUGUUAAGUGGAAAAGGAUGUGGCGUUGCCCAGACAACUAGGAUGUUGGCUUAGAAGCAGCCAUCAUUUAAAGAGUGCGUAAUAGCUCACUAGUCGAGUGACACUGCGCCGAAAAUGUACCGGGGCUAAACAUAUUACCGAAGCUGUGGAUUGUCCUUUGGACAAUGGUAGGAGAGCGUUCUAAGGGCGUUGAAGCAUGAUCGUAAGGACAUGUGGAGCGCUUAGAAGUGAGAAUGCCGGUGUGAGUAGCGAAAGACGGGUGAGAAUCCCGUCCACCGAUUGACUAAGGUUUCCAGAGGAAGGCUCGUCCGCUCUGGGUUAGUCGGGUCCUAAGCUGAGGCCGACAGGCGUAGGCGAUGGAUAACAGGUUGAUAUUCCUGUACCACCUAUAAUCGUUUUAAUCGAUGGGGGGACGCAGUAGGAUAGGCGAAGCGUGCGAUUGGAUUGCACGUCUAAGCAGUAAGGCUGAGUAUUAGGCAAAUCCGGUACUCAUUAAGGCUGAGCUGUGAUGGGGAGAAGACAUUGUGUCUUCGAGUCGUUGAUUUCACACUGCCGAGAAAAGCCUCUAGAUAGAAAAUAGGUGCCCGUACCGCAAACCGACACAGGUAGUCAAGAUGAGAAUUCUAAGGUGAGCGAGCGAACUCUCGUUAAGGAACUCGGCAAAAUGACCCCGUAACUUCGGGAGAAGGGGUGCUCUUUAGGGUUAACGCCCAGAAGAGCCGCAGUGAAUAGGCCCAAGCGACUGUUUAUCAAAAACACAGGUCUCUGCUAAACCGUAAGGUGAUGUAUAGGGGCUGACGCCUGCCCGGUGCUGGAAGGUUAAGAGGAGUGGUUAGCUUCUGCGAAGCUACGAAUCGAAGCCCCAGUAAACGGCGGCCGUAACUAUAACGGUCCUAAGGUAGCGAAAUUCCUUGUCGGGUAAGUUCCGACCCGCACGAAAGGCGUAACGAUUUGGGCACUGUCUCAACGAGAGACUCGGUGAAAUCAUAGUACCUGUGAAGAUGCAGGUUACCCGCGACAGGACGGAAAGACCCCGUGGAGCUUUACUGUAGCCUGAUAUUGAAAUUCGGCACAGCUUGUACAGGAUAGGUAGGAGCCUUUGAAACGUGAGCGCUAGCUUACGUGGAGGCGCUGGUGGGAUACUACCCUAGCUGUGUUGGCUUUCUAACCCGCACCACUUAUCGUGGUGGGAGACAGUGUCAGGCGGGCAGUUUGACUGGGGCGGUCGCCUCCUAAAAGGUAACGGAGGCGCUCAAAGGUUCCCUCAGAAUGGUUGGAAAUCAUUCAUAGAGUGUAAAGGCAUAAGGGAGCUUGACUGCGAGACCUACAAGUCGAGCAGGGUCGAAAGACGGACUUAGUGAUCCGGUGGUUCCGCAUGGAAGGGCCAUCGCUCAACGGAUAAAAGCUACCCCGGGGAUAACAGGCUUAUCUCCCCCAAGAGUUCACAUCGACGGGGAGGUUUGGCACCUCGAUGUCGGCUCAUCGCAUCCUGGGGCUGUAGUCGGUCCCAAGGGUUGGGCUGUUCGCCCAUUAAAGCGGUACGCGAGCUGGGUUCAGAACGUCGUGAGACAGUUCGGUCCCUAUCCGUCGUGGGCGUAGGAAAUUUGAGAGGAGCUGUCCUUAGUACGAGAGGACCGGGAUGGACAUACCUCUGGUGUACCAGUUGUCGUGCCAACGGCAUAGCUGGGUAGCUAUGUGUGGACGGGAUAAGUGCUGAAAGCAUCUAAGCAUGAAGCCCCCCUCAAGAUGAGAUUUCCCAACUUCGGUUAUAAGAUCCCUCAAAGAUGAUGAGGUUAAUAGGUUCGAGGUGGAAGCAUGGUGACAUGUGGAGCUGACGAAUACUAA
RNAcentral lists this ribosomal RNA (2429 nucleotides) under Staphylococcus aureus. RNAcentral's name for it is "partial 23S ribosomal RNA". It matches the Rfam family "Bacterial large subunit ribosomal RNA", at positions 469 to 2904 of the family's 2925-position model. The record is from RNAcentral. Lineage: Bacteria; Bacillati; Bacillota; Bacilli; Caryophanales; Staphylococcaceae.